UGGGGAAUUUUGGACAAUGGGGGAAACCCUGAUCCAGCCAUCCCGCGUGUGCGAUGAAGGCCUUCGGGUUGUAAAGCACUUUUUGCAGGAAAGAAACGUCAUGGGUUAAUACCCCGUGAAACUGACGGUACCUGCAGAAUAAGCACGGGCUAACUACGUGCCAGCAGCCGCGGUAAUACGUAGGGUGCAAGCGUUAAUCGGAAUUACUGGGCGUAAAGCGUGCGCAGGCGGUUCGGAAAGAAAGAUGUGAAAUCCCAGAGCUCAACUUUGGAACUGCAUUUUUAACUACCGGGCUAGAGUGUGUCAGAGGGAGGGGGAAUUCCGCGUGUAGCAGUGAAAUGCGUAGAUAUGCGGAGGAACACCGAGGGCGAAGGCAGCCUCCUGGGAUAACACUGACGCUGAUGCACGAAAGCGUGGGGAGCAAACAGG
Molecule: ribosomal RNA, 429 nt
Filed under: Acidobacteriota bacterium
Lineage: Bacteria; Pseudomonadati; Acidobacteriota
Description: Acidobacteria bacterium partial 16S ribosomal RNA
Rfam family: Bacterial small subunit ribosomal RNA
Source: RNAcentral